Molecule: long non-coding RNA, 768 nt
Organism: Pantherophis guttatus
Lineage: Eukaryota; Metazoa; Chordata; Lepidosauria; Squamata; Colubridae
Source: RefSeq, a predicted model, not a curated record
AUAGUAGUAGAAUCGUAAGGUUUUUUCAGAUUCACCUGUAGAUUAUGAUCACAAGUAACAAUGAGUCACCUAAGAUAUGUAAAUUAGUACAUACCGUAAGGUCAGGUAUUGGACGCCUCCGCAGCCAAUGGUUUCCUUAGAACGUGCUUUGGUUUCUGAAAUGGGACAGGGAGAGAUAGUAUAAAAAGAGGACUUUGGCCAGAGGUUCUUCAUUCGCUUGAAAGAGUAGACUCAACCAAGUCCAGAGUUCCUCUACCUGACAACCAAUCGACUUUGCAGUCAACAUGAGCCAACAACAACAGCAACAACAAGGAAGCUGCUGUGGCGGAGGUAGCAGCGGCCUAGGCGGAGGGUGCUGCCGCCGAGGAAGUAGCGGUGGAUGCUGCAGCCGUGGGUCAACCGGAGGAGGAGGAGGUUGUUGUUGCCGCCGAGGAAGUAGCGGCGGCGGAUGCUGCAGUCGUGGUUCGGGCACCGUCUACGUUCAACAGACCCAGCAGACCAGCAGAUGUUGUUGCAUCAACCGUUCGGGCCCCUGUUGUGGUCGGUGCUGUGGCCGGCGUUGCGGUGGUGGCUGCUGUGGUGGGGGAUCUACCCAAGUGAAGCAGAAGUAGAUACCUUCAAAGAACGCAGCCAACCGACCUCUACCUCUAGCACGUUCUCCUCCUUCCCAGAAACCCAAAGGGUGGACCUGGAAAUUUUCCAACCUCUGAAUUUCCCUGCUCUGUUAUCCCUGUGAAGCUAUUAAAACAACCCCUUGCCUGCAAAUAA